AGGAAAACGGAAGAAAAACCUAAAAGAGAAUUUAGUCUUCUUUGGGGAGUCAACAAAAACGGCUGCUAGAGGGGAGAAAAGAGGAGAAUUUGGACGGCUGCUGGCAGGAAGAAAUUGAGUAACAGUAGGGCUGCCGAACUAUAUUAUAUAUAUACACAUUGGGAGGCCGCUAACGGAGUUGCUGGGGAAUUAAAAAGGCAGCUGCUUGGAGGAAAAUAAAAGUUGGCGUUGAAAGUCAGGCAUUGCAGGCUGUGGGAAGAAAGGAAGGGAAGAAUUCUUGGGGCUUUGCUUUGGAAUUCAAUCACAGUGGCAGCCAAAUUAAAGGAAGCAAAACGGGAGAAUAAUCUAGAGAAAAUUGGUCCCUUUUUGGAGUUAAAAAAAAAAAAAAGGAUGCAACUGGGGAAAUUAAUUAGAGAUAAAUACAUACAAGAAGAGGCGCUUGGGGGGUCAACAUAGAUAAAUACAAGCUGUUGAAAUUGGGCAGUAAAAAAGGGCAGAGCUGCUGGGAAAGAAGGCAAAGAAAAAGGCUGAUUUGGCUGAUUUAUAUAUAUAUAUACAGCAAUUGCGGCAGAAAAUUUAAAGGAAUUGGAGACUAAUCUAUAGACAAAAAGGCAGCCAAUUGGGGGAUUAAUACACAUUGAUACACACGGAACCGAGAGGAAGAAAAACCAUAGAAAAGCUGGUUGGAAAUAAGAGAUUUCACAUUGGAUUCGAAGAAAGGCUGCCGGCUGAGUUUUUUGUGCAACUUUCUUCAAUAAUUGUGCAAGGAGCUUGAAAAUUGAAUCACUUCCCGUCGAUUUUCGACUGGAAUGGCAUACGCAAUGAAAUUUUCUCACAUAAGCAAUAGGGACUUGGUCAACAUGACGAAUAAGAGGGUGAAUGUUAUUCCUUUUUUUGAAUCAUUUUUGCAAACUACGUUGAGAAAGACCAACCUCCUAUGUACCAUAUUCUUUUUGUACCUCGAAAGGGAGAGCGGGACCAUGCAUGUUGCCGCCAGAAGCAGAACCCCAUAUUUCUUCUAUCAUGAUUAAUCUUCCAUCUACUCAUCCAUCUACAGAUAGUGUGUGUGCAUAAUCUGAACAAGGUGCUGCUCAUGCCAUUAUAUGAGGGAAAAUAGACUUGGAAAAGGAAUCGUGGCCAAGCAUUCAGAAAGUGUCAAGAGUCUUGUGUGAAAGAUAUUGGAGCCACAUCCUAAACUUCGACUCACUACAAAACAAUUUCUGGGUAAAAUAUUGUUCGCGUUUGCUAAGUUAUUUAAAAAAUAUAAAAUCCUAUUCAUUAUGCUGUAAA
Olea europaea var. sylvestris is the source of this 1290-nucleotide long non-coding RNA. RefSeq lists it as uncharacterized. Lineage: Eukaryota; Viridiplantae; Streptophyta; Magnoliopsida; Lamiales; Oleaceae. The transcript has 2 exons. The record is from RefSeq and is a predicted model, not a curated record.